AAGGGUUUAGCUAAAGGGUAUAGCUUUGGUCUCCAAAACCAAGAGUAAAGGUUCGAUUCCUUUAACCCUUG
RNAcentral lists this transfer RNA (71 nucleotides) under Diacronema lutheri. RNAcentral's name for it is "tRNA-Trp". It matches the Rfam family "tRNA". Rfam says of the family: Transfer RNA (tRNA) molecules are approximately 80 nucleotides in length. Their secondary structure includes four short double-helical elements and three loops (D, anti-codon, and T loops). RNAcentral also lists the same sequence under 1 other name. Lineage: Eukaryota; Haptophyta; Pavlovophyceae; Pavlovales; Pavlovaceae. The record is from RNAcentral.